Phoenix dactylifera (date palm) is the source of this 5371-nucleotide non-coding RNA. The record is from RefSeq and is a predicted model, not a curated record. Lineage: Eukaryota; Viridiplantae; Streptophyta; Magnoliopsida; Arecales; Arecaceae.
GAAAAUCUCACCAACAAAACCCCCCCACCCUCCUUCGUCCACCUCCUCCCGUCGUCUCUGGCCCCAACCCCCCAAUCCCCGUUCACCCCCGAAUCCGAUCGCUCGCGCCGCCGACUCCAAUCCGGUACCCGUCCCUCCUCCGAUCCGAACCCGGCGGCCGCCGAUAGCGAUUCCGAUCGCCGCCGCCACCGGACGUCGGUGAUCUUCCCCCGCAGUGGAUGGAUAGCAGCUCGAGAAGGGAGGGAUCGACGAGCCGCUGCUGAGGGUAGAAAGAGAAGAUGCCAGGCCUGUUGCAGAGGAACACAGAAUUCGGCAAUGCUCCGCCGCCGCACGCCGCUGCCGGGUCCACGUCCGCCAACGGAAUCUGGUCCAAGCACCGGGACGACAUCACCAUCGAUCAGCUCCAGAAGUUAUGGAGUGAGCUACCCCGUCAGGCUCGGCAGCAGCUCCUGAGGAUAGAUAAGCACACCCUCUUUGAGCAAGCUCGCAAGAACCUUUAUUGUUCCAGGUGCAAUGGUUUGCUACACGAUGGGUUCACACAGAUUGUCAUGUAUGGGAAGUCAUUGCAGCAGGAAGGUGUGGGUAUGCACCUUCCUAAUAAAAUAGGGACCUCCAAGACUCAGAAUGAUAGCAAAUUAGAUGAAGCGCAGGAUCUGUCUAUGCAUCCUUGGGGAGGCCUGGCAGCAACCAAGGAUGGUAGACUAACACUUCUUGACUGCUUUAUAAAUGCAAGGUCACUGAAGACUCUCCAGAAUGUUUUUGACAGUGCCCGAGCAAGGGAACGUGAACGUGAACUGCUUUACCCUAAUGCAUGUGGUGGGGGAGGCAGGGGAUGGAUUAGUCAUGGGAUGGAUAACUAUGGCAGAGGGCAUGGAAUUCGUGAAACCUGUGCUUUGCACACUGCCAGACUUUCUUGUGAUACCCUAGUGGAUUUCUGGUCUGUGCUGGGUGACGAAACUAGAUCAUCUCUUCUAAGGAUGAAGGAGGAGGAUUUCAUGGAUAGACUUACGUUCAGGUUUGACAGCAAGAGGUUUUGCAGAGAUUGCCGAAGAAAUGUCAUCCGUGAAUUCAAAGAGUUGAAGGAACUAAAGCGCAUGCGAAGGGAACCCCGCUGUACUAGUUGGUUUUGUGUUGCAGAUACAGCUUUCCAAUAUGAGGUAUCAGAGGACACUGUCCAAGCUGAUUGGCACAAGUCAUUUGUGGACAUGAUUGGAACAUAUCAUCAUUUUGAAUGGGCAAUUGGAACAGGAGAAGGAAAAUCAGACAUUUUAGACUUCAAAGAUGUUGGGAUUAAUGAAAAGGUGCAGGUGAAUGGACUUGAUCUUGGUAGUUUGAGUGCAUGCUUUAUUACACUGAGGGCUUGGAAGGUUGAUGGCUGUUGCACUGAGCUCUGUGUAAAGGCACAUGCAUUGAAGGGACAACCAUGCAUCCAUCACAGGCUAAUAGUAGGGGAUGGAUUUGUAACAAUAACUAAAGGGGAAAGUAUCAGAAGGUUUUUUGAGCAUGCUGAAGAAGUUGAGGAAGAAGAGGAUGAUGAUGCUAUGGACAAGGAUGGAAAUGAACCUAAUGAUGAUGAAAUCCGUCCGCAGAAGCAUGCGAAGAGUCCUGAGCUUGCACGAGAAUUCCUUCUAGAUGCUGCAGCAGUAAUAUUCAAAGAACAGGUAGAAAAGGCUUUCCGAGAAGGUACAGCUAGACAAAAUGCACACAGUAUGUUUGUUUGUCUUGCCCUCAAAUUGCUGGAAGAGCGUCUUCAUGUUGCUUGCAAAGAGAUUAUUACAUUAGAAAAGCAGACCAAGCUUCUAGAGGAGGAAGAAAAUGAGAAACAUGAAGAAGAAGAGCGCAAGGAGAGGAGGAGGACAAAAGAAAGGGAAAAAAAACUUAGAAGGAAAGAGAGGCUAAAAGGAAAGGAAAGGGAAAGAGAAAAGAAACUUAUUGAGCCAAAAUCACUUAGUGAGGAUUCACCAUGCUCUUCGAAUGAUUUGCUCACAAGUACACAUGAUAAGUCCACCGCUUUCGACUCUGGGAAUUCAGUUAGUGAACCAGGAGAUAUGCCUAUUUCUCCUAAUGUUACAGAUGAACAAACCUCAAGCGGCAAUAUCAGUACAAAGAACCUGAAGAGUGAUAGUCUACAGCAUCGAUGUUAUAUUGAUGGAGAGCUUGGUGCUAGGGAUGGAAAUGGCUCUUUUGUACUUGAGCAGUCCAAAUCAUCAAGGAGGAAAUUGAGAUUCAGAAAAGAUUAUCUUCUGGAUCAGGCUUCUAGUUGGUAUGACAAGCACCAAUCUUGCAUUAGCAAUAUUCAGCAACAUGAUUCUGAUUCAAAUGGAUGCACAUUGUCUCUAUCUAGGGACAUGAUUGGGCUUCCCAGGCCAUCAAAAGAAAGGGUUGUCAAGGGCAGUGCUAGAAAUUGCAAUCUGAAAGGCCGUGAUAAACUCCACAGUUCAAACAGCAGAAUGCGAGAUGGAUUUGACUUCCAGUUCUGUAGCUGCAACCAACAGGCUGAUUACAAAGGAAAGGAUGGUAAUCAAAUUUUUACAGUCAGAUCAGGUAGUGAGAUCAAGAUUGCACAUAAAACAAAAGGCACACCUGAUAUGUCUAGGCCGUUCUAUCAAAGUGUUAAAUACAGACAGGGUUGCCAUGUGCCAGAUACUGUUGUCAUUUCAAAGGGAAAGCUUGUUGGAGGUACACAUGGCAAGGAUGUUUUCAAUACAAAACAAGUUUGGGAACCGCUGAAUGCACAUACAAAGUGCUCUGGAAGCAGUUCUGAUCCUGACUUUACUUUGGGAACCACUUCUAAGGUUGAUCCAUCUGAAGGAACUAGAUUUGAUAAAGAUGAGAAUGGAUGCCAGCAACCAUGUAGUGUGCUUGAAUCACUACAUCUCUGCUUCUCUGAGCAUUCUGCAAGUUCAGGAAAAGCUGAAUCUUUGAGUAGUUGUCAACUUCAUGAGAAUGGCGGGAAGAACUCUGAUAAAUCUGUUUUAAGUGGCCACAAUGGUAGUCAGAAUGGAUUUGUCCCAGUAGCAAAGUCAGAUUGCUACUCAAAGAAUGGUGCAAAGGAGGAAGUUGGCUCAUGUCCCAUGUCUACAUUUCCAAUGAAUAAUACUUGCGAUCUUGUAACAAACUCAUCUAGUUCGGAUAAAUGCUCAUCAUGUCUUAGUGAGGGAGACAGCAGCACCAGUUCCCCAAGCGCUCAAAAUGCAGAGUCAUCAUCAAUUUCAGAUUCAGAAGAUGCUAGCCAACAAUCUGAUGGCAGAGAUAUAUCAAUAUGCGAUGGAAAUAAUUUUCGCAAAUUUCUGGAUGAAUCUGCAGAAAGCAAUCACCAGACAAAUGGAUGCAAAUCUUUCACCAGGACAACUACAGGGUUUGCAGCAGAGAGCUGGCUGCUGCCAAACUUUUGGAGGGAAAGUUCAAGAAAAGCUGUCCACAGUUCUGAUAAUGGUCGGUUUGGAUUUGAUAUGGCUCCUUCUCAGCCGCACAUUUUAUCGGUGCAUAACCAAAGCAUCCAUGUGCCAUUCUUUCCUUGUCCAACCAUGGGGUAUCAUAAUCAUAGUGCAGCUUCUUGGUCACCUACUCGCGCCACUGAAUUGAUGCCAUUUUACCAGCCCAACCAAUACUUACUCCAUAGCCAUCCAGGAUACAACCUACAUGCAAACCGAUCCUCAAAUUUCUGUAUGCGGUACAGUACCCUUCAACCUUUAUCAGCUCCUGCAUUUGAUGGAAACCAACUUUCCUUUUACCAGACUGCUAAUGGAGUCAAGAAUGCAAGCUCAAAGGAGCAAUGCAGUAAUCUUGGUUCAUGUGGAUUCCAAGAGGUCAGUGCUGUUGCCGAGCUGAUAGAAGGUAACUGUCCUCAGGAAAGGUCAUUUCCAAGUAGACAUGUUCCUCCAAAAACACCAUCAGUGGGACAAAAUGGAAGUGUUGAAAAUGCUGCUAAAUCACAUAAUGGCAGUCCAUCCUUCUCGUUAUUUCACUUUGGUGGUCCAGUGGAUGGGGUUGCUGCAGGGAUCAAUCUGGAUCCACUUUAUUUGAAAGAAGACACUACGGGAGGAUUCAUCUCUAAGUUACCUGCAGCUCAGGCUCAUGCAUGCUCAAAUGAAGAGACAGAGAUUGAAGAGUACAGCUUGUUUUCGGGUAGAAAUGGUGCUAGAUUUUCAUUCUUCUAGUGCAGUCCAUAUAGUGGCUGCAAGGGGGCUGGUGGAGCGUUCAUCUGCUUUACUGCUUCAGUUGUGAAUGCUAUCACUUGUAUGUGGUAAAAAUAAUCUUUCUCAAAAAUUUUAGUAUAUUUUCAUCUGUUGAUGCUUCCAAUUUGUGUUUUAUUGUUUUCAGAUUGUAGAAAAAAAUGCGAGUGAUAUAGCUUUCUUUCAAAACAAGUGAUCGCCCUCUUGAUUCUGUAGUGGUGUUUCAACAAAUGAGACAGGCAAAUGUUAAACCCAACUCUGUCACUGCUUCCAGCCAUCUAACUAGUCCGAGCAUUGGUCGUUCCAUACAUUCGUACAUAACAACAAAUGAGAUCAAAUUGGACGUUGCUUUAGGAACUGCUCUUGUCAACAUGUAUGCUAAGUGUGGGCACAUAGAGGAAGCUUUCCAAGUUUUCGAAUCCAUGGAGGAUAGGAACCUGCAGUCAUGGACAAUCAUGAUUUCAGGAUUUGCAGCUCAUGGCCAUAGGAAAGAAGCAAUCACUCUAUUCUCUCAAAUGGAAGCCAGUGGUCUGAAACCAGACAGCACUUCAUUCUCCAUGAUCUUAAGUGCUUGCAGCCACUUGGGUAUGGUAGAUGAAGGUUGGCACUAUUUUAGCAAGAUGGUGGAUGUUUACAAUAUCCAACCAACAAUUGAGCACUAUGGCUGCAUGGUUGAUUUGUUCGGACGUGCAGGAUUGGUAGAUACUGCUUUUGAGUUCAUCAAAAACAUGCCUAUUGCUCCAAACAGUGUUAUACUAAGGUCUUUCUUGGGAGCCUGUAGGAAAAAUGGUAAAAUUACUGCUGUUGAUGGUGAACUGUAUCAACUGAUGAAGCUUUUGCUCAGAGAGGAGCCUGAUCUUGGAGCAAACUAUGUGCUUGCUGCUAACAUGUCUGCAUCGUCUGAUAAAUGGAGUGAUGCAGCCAAGCUACACGGCAGCAUUUCAGAGAGGGGUUUGAAGAAGGUUGCUGGAUGCAGUUGGGUGGAAGUGCAUGGAAGAAGUGUUGAAUGGAAAGAAAUGGAAAUUGGUGGAUGACCAUGAUGCUGAACACUAAGCUCAAGCACAGUUAUAUGUUCAAAUUACAAUAUACGAGAAGCAGGGCGUAAAUGAUUCAAUCUUCUUUAGUAGUUUGUUACUGUGGGUAAUUACUAAAAGGUAUUGACUGAAUCUUUAUACAAUUCCUGAAAUUUUUAUGCA